Molecule: ribosomal RNA, 485 nt
Filed under: uncultured bacterium
Lineage: Bacteria
Description: bacterial SSU rRNA
Rfam family: Bacterial small subunit ribosomal RNA
Source: RNAcentral
GAUGAACGCUGGCGGCGUGCUUAACACAUGCAAGUCGAACGAAGCACUUUGAUCGAUUUCUUCGGAUUGAAAUUUUAGUGACUGAGUGGCGGACGGGUGAGUAACGCGUGGGUAACCUGCCUCACACAGGGGGAUAACAGUCGGAAACGACUGCUAAUACCGCAUAAGCGCACAGUGCCGCAUGGCACGGUGUGAAAAACUCCGGUGGUCUGGGAUGGACCCGCGUCCGAUUAGCUAGUUGGUGAGGUAACGGCCCACCAAGGCGACGAUCCAUAGCCGACCUGAGAGGGUGACCGGCCACAUUGGGACUGAGACACGGCCCAAACUCCUACGGGAGGCAGCAGUGGGGAAUAUUGCACAAUGGGCGAAAGCCUGAUGCAGCGACGCCGCGUGAGCGAAGAAGUAUUCGGUAUGUAAAGCUCUAUCAGCAGGGAAGAUAAUGACGGUACCUGACUAAGAAGCACCGGCUAAAUACGUGCCAGCAG